Molecule: long non-coding RNA, 437 nt
Organism: Drosophila persimilis
Lineage: Eukaryota; Metazoa; Arthropoda; Insecta; Diptera; Drosophilidae
Exons: 4
Source: RefSeq, a predicted model, not a curated record
AAAACAUGUAUAUACGUUGAGUUAUGGAGUUAGGGGCAUAGGAGCAUAGUGCCCUCCUCUUCCGUCCUGCGCGACGCUUUACCUAAUCGGCUUGGACCGGCUCUAUUUGGCGACACGCUUUCUGGACACAAACUGACAUUCCGCGAUCCCUCCUCUAGCCCCACCCGGAGGUCGCACCCUGGGUGGCUAGGAAUUCCUCUUGCGUGCCCGCGGUCAGCGAUAUGUAUACCAUCGUUUACCAGGGGCUUCACGCUUCUGGUCUUCCGGUUCAUAUGAUCGAGUGCAAUUUGACUGCAGAAAAUAUUCUUGAUUGGCCCAUGAUAAGGACCAAAUCAAGUAUUUUUGUCUUACGAUCACAGGAAGCUGUCGCACACCAAGGUCGGACCACAAAUAACAAAGAAAUAAAAAUAUGCAUGCAUUAUGAAAUUUGCCAAAAA